GUGAGGAAUUUUCCGCAAUGGGCGAAAGCCUGACGGAGCAAUGUCGCGUGAAGGAUGAAGGCCUAUGGGUUGUAAACUUCUUUUCUCAGAAAAGAAUUAUGACGGUAUCUGAGGAAUAAGCAUCGGCUAACUCUGUGCCAGCAGCCGCGGUAAGACAGAGGAUGCAAGCGUUAUCCGGAAUGAUUGGGCGUAAAGCGUCUGUAGGUUGUUUAAAAAGUAUUCUGUCAAAGAUUAGGGCUUAACCCUAGAUAGGCAGAAUAAACUUUUAAGCUAGAGUUUGGUAGAGGCAGAGGGAAUUCCCGGUGGAGCGGUGAAAUGCGUAGAUAUCGGGAGGAACACCAAAGGCGAAGGCACUCUGCUGGGCCAAUACUAACACUGAGAGACGAAAGCGAGGGGAGCAAAUGGGAUUAGAUACCCCGGUAGUCC
Molecule: ribosomal RNA, 426 nt
Filed under: uncultured bacterium
Lineage: Bacteria
Description: partial 16S ribosomal RNA
Rfam family: Bacterial small subunit ribosomal RNA
Source: RNAcentral